AGGUACAUUAAGUACAGGGAACAGCCUCCUCCUCUAGUAACCUGGAGAGAGGUACAUUAAGUACAGGGAACAGCCUCCUCCUCUAGUAACCUGGAGAGAGGUACAUUAAGUACAGGGAACAGCCUCCUCCUCUAGUAACCUGGAGAGAGGUACAUUAAGUACAGGGAACAGCCUCCUCCUCUAGUAACCUGGAGAGACAUACAUUAAGUACAGGGAACAGCCUCCUCCUCUAGUAACCUGGAGAGAGGUACAUUAAGUACAGGGAACAGCCUCCUCCUCUAGUAACCUGGAGAGAGGUACAUUAAGUACAGGGAACAGCCUCCUCCUCUAGUAACCUGGAGAGAGGUACAUUAAGUACAGGGAACAGCCUCCUCCUCUAGUAACCUGGAGAGAGGUACAUUAAGUACAGGGAACAGCCUCCUCCUCUAGUAACCUGGAGAGAGGUACAUUAAGUACAGGGAACAGCCUCCUCCUCUAGUAACCUGGAGAGAGGUACAUUAAGUACAGGGAACAGCCUCCUCCUCUAGUAACCUGGAGAGAGGUACAUUAAGUACAGGGAACAGCCUCCUCCUCUAGUAACCUGGAGAGAGGUACAUUAAGUACAGGGAACAGCCUCCUCCUCUAGUAACCUGGAGAGAGGUACAUUAAGUACAGGGAACAGCCUCCUCCUC
Molecule: long non-coding RNA, 671 nt
Organism: Oncorhynchus keta (chum salmon)
Lineage: Eukaryota; Metazoa; Chordata; Actinopteri; Salmoniformes; Salmonidae
Exons: 4
Source: RefSeq, a predicted model, not a curated record